Molecule: ribosomal RNA, 465 nt
Filed under: uncultured Klebsiella sp.
Lineage: Bacteria; Pseudomonadati; Pseudomonadota; Gammaproteobacteria; Enterobacterales; Enterobacteriaceae
Description: bacterial SSU rRNA
Rfam family: Bacterial small subunit ribosomal RNA
Source: RNAcentral
CCUACGGGUGGCAGCAGUGGGGAAUAUUGCACAAUGGGCGCAAGCCUGAUGCAGCCAUGCCGCGUGUGUGAAGAAGGCCUUCGGGUUGUAAAGCACUUUCAGCGGGGAGGAAGGCGGUGAGGUUAAUAACCUCAGCGAUUGACGUUACCCGCAGAAGAAGCACCGGCUAACUCCGUGCCAGCAGCCGCGGUAAUACGGAGGGUGCAAGCGUUAAUCGGAAUUACUGGGCGUAAAGCGCACGCAGGCGGUCUGUCAAGUCGGAUGUGAAAUCCCCGGGCUCAACCUGGGAACUGCAUUCGAAACUGGCAGGCUAGAGUCUUGUAGAGGGGGGUAGAAUUCCAGGUGUAGCGGUGAAAUGCGUAGAGAUCUGGAGGAAUACCGGUGGCGAAGGCGGCCCCCUGGACAAAGACUGACGCUCAGGUGCGAAAGCGUGGGGAGCAAACAGGAUGAGAUACCCCUGUAGUC